UACGUAGGUGGCAAGCGUUGUCCGGAUUUCUUGGGUUUAAAGGGUGCGUAGGCGGCUUUGUAAGUCAGUGGUGAAAUACGGUAGCUUAACUAUCGAGGUGCCAUUGAUACUGCAGAGCUUGAGUACAGAUGAGGUAGGCGGAAUUGACGGUGUAGCGGUGAAAUGCUUAGAUAUCGUCAAGAACACCUAUAGCGAAGGCAGCUUACUAGGCUGUAACUGACGCUGAGGCACGAAAGUGUGGGGAUCAAACAGG
Molecule: ribosomal RNA, 253 nt
Filed under: uncultured bacterium
Lineage: Bacteria
Description: partial 16S ribosomal RNA
Rfam family: Bacterial small subunit ribosomal RNA
Source: RNAcentral